UGUUCGUCGUAAAUACUUUUUUUUACGAUUAAAAUUUUUUAUCUUUAAUUUUUUAUCAAUGAAAAAUAUUCAUCACAAAUAUCUUUUAUUAGCAAUGAAAUUUUUUUUUCAUCGUAAAAUAUUAUCAACGAUGCGAUUAUUUACGACGAAUAAUUAGUGAUGAAUAUUUCAUCGCUAAUAAUUAUUAACGAUGAAAGUAGAUCAUUAGUGAUGAAAAGUUUUCGUCGCUAAUAAUCUGUUUUGUUAUAGUGAUAGAUUCUAGAUGAAAGAAAUCACCAAAUACCGC
Molecule: long non-coding RNA, 286 nt
Filed under: Elaeis guineensis (African oil palm)
Lineage: Eukaryota; Viridiplantae; Streptophyta; Magnoliopsida; Arecales; Arecaceae
Description: long non-coding RNA (EGUI_LNC015661)
Source: RNAcentral